CAGUAGCCGCGGUAAAACGAAGGGUGCAAGCGUUAAUCGGAAUUACUGGGCGUAAAGCGUGCGUAGGCGGUUUGUUAAGUCUGUUGUGAAAUCCCCGGGCUCAACCUGGGAAUGGCAAUGGAUACUGGCAAGCUAGAGUGUGUCAGAGGAUGGUGGAAUUCCCGGCGUAGCGGUGAAAUGCGUAGAGAUCGGGAGGAACAUCAGUGGCGAAGGCGGCCAUCUGGGACAACACUGACGCUGAGGCACGAAAGCGUGGGUAGCAAACAGGAUUAGAGACCCCCGUAGUCCCUGUCUCUUAUAC
This 301-nucleotide ribosomal RNA is filed under the name uncultured bacterium. RNAcentral describes it as "partial 16S ribosomal RNA". It matches the Rfam family "Bacterial small subunit ribosomal RNA", at positions 509 to 807 of the family's 1533-position model. The record is from RNAcentral.